GAUGAACGCUGGCGGCGUGCCUAAUACAUGCAAGUCGAGCGAACGGACGAGAAGCUUGCUUCUCUGAUGUUAGCGGCGGACGGGUGAGUAACACGUGGAUAACCUACCUAUAAGACUGGGAUAAAUUCGGGAAACCGGAGCUAAUACCGGAUAAUAUUUUGAACAGCAUGGUUCAAAAGUGAAAGACGGUCUUGCUGUCACUUAUAGAUGGAUCCGCGCUGCAUUAGCUAGUUGGUAAGGUAACGGCUUACCAAGGCAACGAUGCAUAGCCGACCUGAGAGGGGGAUCGGCCACACUGGAACUGAGACACGGUCCAGACUCCUACGGGAGGCAGCAGUAGGGAAUCGUCCGCGAUGGGCGAAAGCCUGACGGAGCAACGCCGCGUGAGUGAUGAAGAUCUUCGGAUCGUAAAACUCUGUUAUUAGGGAAGAACAUAUUUGUAAGUAACUGUGCACAUCUUGACGGUACCUAAUCAGAAAGCCACGGCUAACUACGUG
Molecule: ribosomal RNA, 497 nt
Filed under: uncultured bacterium
Lineage: Bacteria
Description: partial 16S ribosomal RNA
Rfam family: Bacterial small subunit ribosomal RNA
Source: RNAcentral